UGUGUAGGUUUGUGGGUGGGACGGUGGGUCACUGACUGUGUGUGUGUGUGUAGGUUUGUGGGUGGGACGGUGGGUCACUGACUGUGUGUGUGUGUGUAGGUUUGUGGGUGGGACAGUGGGUCACUGACUGUGUGUGUGUGUGUGUAGGUUUGUGGGUGGGACGGUGGGUCACUGACUCUGUGUGUGUGUGUGUGUGUGUAGGUUUGUGGGUGGGACGGUGGGUCACUGACUCUGUGUGUGUGUAGGUUUGUG
Molecule: long non-coding RNA, 252 nt
Organism: Gopherus flavomarginatus (Mexican gopher tortoise)
Lineage: Eukaryota; Metazoa; Chordata; Testudines; Testudinidae
Exons: 3
Source: RefSeq, a predicted model, not a curated record